CCUACGGGAGGCAGCAGUGAGGAAUAUUGGACAAUGGGCGCAAGCCUGAUCCAGCCAUGCCGCGUGCAGGAAGAAGCAUCUAUGGUGUGUAAACUGCUUUUGUACAGGAAGAAACACUCCCUCGUGAGGGAGCUUGACGGUACUGUAAGAAUAAGGACCGGCUAACUCCGUGCCAGCAGCCGCGGUAAUACGGAGGGUCCGAGCGUUAUCCGGAAUCAUUGGGUUUAAAGGGUCCGUAGGCGGUUUAAUAAGUCAGUGGUGAAAUCUGGUCGCUCAACGAUCAAACGGCCAUUGAUACUGUUAGACUUGAAUUAUAAGGAAGUAACUAGAAUAUGUAGUGUAGCGGUGAAAUGCUUAGAUAUUACAUGGAAUACCAAUUGCGAAGGCAGGUUACUACUUAUGGAUUGACGCUGAUGGACGAAAGCGUGGGGAGCGAACAGGAUUAGAUACCCUGGUAGUCCACGCCGUAAAACGAUGGAUACUAGCUGUUCGGUAGACAUACUGUAGUGGUCGUAGACGAAGUAGAGUAAGUAAUACCCUACCGUACGGGAGGUACGGUUCGUCGAAGAAGAGAACGUACGAAAGUAGUAAGUUAGUACGGACGUGAGACGUAGACCGACGGACGACGACGAGGGGAGGGUUAGGGAG
Molecule: ribosomal RNA, 648 nt
Filed under: uncultured bacterium
Lineage: Bacteria
Description: bacterial SSU rRNA
Rfam family: Bacterial small subunit ribosomal RNA (bases 1-543)
Source: RNAcentral